RNAcentral lists this ribosomal RNA (253 nucleotides) under uncultured bacterium. RNAcentral describes it as "partial 16S ribosomal RNA". It matches the Rfam family "Bacterial small subunit ribosomal RNA", at positions 524 to 776 of the family's 1533-position model. The record is from RNAcentral.
UACGGAAUGUGCAAACGUUAUUCGGAAUCACUGGGCUUAAAGGGCGCGUAGGCGGGCUACCAAGUCUGUGGUGAAAUCCUCCAGCUCGACUGGAGAACGGCCGUGGAUACUGGGAGCCUCGAGGGAGAUAGGGGCAGGCGGAACUGAUGGUGGAGCGGUGAAAUGCGUUGAUAUCAUCAGGAACUCCGGUGGCGAAGGCGGCAUCCUGGACCGGUAUUGACGCUGAGGCGCGAAAGCCAGGGGAGCAAACGGG